AUGACUUUAGGAGAGUUAAGUGGGCCAGCCAGAGGACUUGUGCUUCGUUUUAGUUUUUUUAGGUCAAUUGGGGUUUAUAUCCUGCUUAGAAAGAUGAUGGUGCCCUGA
RNAcentral lists this ribosomal RNA (108 nucleotides) under Triticum aestivum (bread wheat). Its description in RNAcentral is "partial small subunit ribosomal RNA". The record is from RNAcentral. Lineage: Eukaryota; Viridiplantae; Streptophyta; Magnoliopsida; Poales; Poaceae.